Molecule: long non-coding RNA, 774 nt
Organism: Pan troglodytes (chimpanzee)
Lineage: Eukaryota; Metazoa; Chordata; Mammalia; Primates; Hominidae
Source: Ensembl
CCUGGCCCCCACAGUGCUUCUUAUAGCUCAGAUUCCUGGGCUGCACUCCUGGAGUUCCUGAUUCCUUAGGUCUCCAGUGAGGCCUGAGAGUUUGCAUGUCUAACAAGCUCUAGCUGAUGGUUUGGAGACCAUACUUUUAGAACACUGGUCUACAGGUCUCCCGUCUUGUCCUUUCUAGUCUAGAAAUCAUGCUUGUUUGCUCAUGGGUUCUAAGUGACAGCAAAUCACCACCUUCCUUCGCCUUAGUGGGGAAUGAAAGAGACAAAUUUCUCCCUAACUCUUUGGCCAAAACUCUUCCAGAGGCUAAUGACUUCUCAUUUCUCCCUCUCUGCUCAUUUGCAUCCUCUGUCACUGAGUACAGGUCUCAUCUCCUCUAAGCACUUGGUGGGAAGAGUUCAGCCUCAUCCCUCAUGGCAGUUCCAGUCAAUGCCCAACAGAGACCAACCAAAGCCAAGUUGCUGGAAAGGGACUCUGAGUGGCCAGUUUGGGUCAUGUGACUCCAUUGCCCAUGGGAGCAGUCUCUCUGAGAAGAAACAGGGUCAGAGCAGGUGGAUAAGCAGCAUUCCUGCCUCAGUCAUAGGCCCCAGUGUUCUCCACUCCGUCAGUAAGCUAGGCUUGCUUGUCCUGCACAUCUCACUGACACCAACAGUGGAAGGGCUGGUUUCUUCCUGCUGGGACCAACGGGAGCUGGUGAUGACUGUGCCAUGUUCGGGAGGUCACAUGAGGCCAGCAGAGGAUGGAAGAGACCAGCAAAAAGUAAGGUUGUACUUUUGA